This 468-nucleotide ribosomal RNA is filed under the name uncultured bacterium. Its description in RNAcentral is "partial 16S ribosomal RNA". It matches the Rfam family "Bacterial small subunit ribosomal RNA", at positions 28 to 507 of the family's 1533-position model. The record is from RNAcentral.
GACGAACGCUGGCGGCGUGCUUAACACAUGCAAGUCGAACGGAAAGGCCCUGCUUUUGUGGCGUGCUCGAGUGGCGAACGCGUGUGUAACACGUGUGUAACCUGCCCUUCACUUUGUGAUAACUUCAGGAACCUGGGCCUACUACCCGAUAGGAGCUCCUGCUGCAUGUUGGUGGUUGGAAAGUUUCGGCGGUUGGGGAUUGACUCGCCGCUUAUCAGCUUGUUGGUUGGGUAGUGGCUUACCAAGGUUUUGACGGGUAGCCGGCCUGAGUGGGUGACCGGGGACAAAGGGACUGAGAUACGGACCAGAGUCCAACGGGAGGCAGCAGUGGGGAAUAUAGCAGAAUGGGCGGAAGCAUGAUGAAGAAACGCCGCGUGCGGGAAGACGGCCUUCGGGUUGUAAACCGGUUUCGGCUGUGACGAAGAGUGAGUGACGGUAAUGGGUAAAGAAGCACCGGCUAACUACGUG